CACUGAUCCAUAUGGAGCUUUAGGAUCCAGACCUCCGCCCCAAUUCGAUGUAGGACGAUACUCUGAGGCCUCCUACGCUUUCACGAAUGACUACUACCAAGAGGCCAGCGCUUUCUUCAACCGCACCGACAACACCCUUGUCGACAUCCAGAAUACGUAACCAGAACAUGGACGACUUCUGGAAGAGCAACAAAAAUGGAACAAGGACCACGCCACUACAGUACAAGAGCUGAGACAAGAUACCACAACAAUGAACGGCAACAUCACCACCAUGAUGCGAUUCUGGAACAUCGAGUAAGACCGACAUCCACAUCCAGCUUAGGGGAGUUCCUCCCCAAUUUAUCAAGUAAGUUUUUAUUUGUUUUUCUUAUUUAUUCUUUUCUAUUUUAGUGUUUUAUUUAUCUUAAAGAGAAAAACUUAGAAAACCCAAUAAAUAUUUUCUUGCUUUAAAUUACUGCAUUCUAUAAACAUAAAAACAAAAUAAAAAGAGUGUGUAGAUAAGUGUGCUUUAUUUUUCUGUUAAGUUUAAUCUCUAGAAAAAAUAAAAAGACCAAAAAAAAUACAUGAUGGAAAUGAUGAACAGUUGCUCUGUUUGCUUACUUUCAAGUACCUAGCUUUUAUAUUAGUGUUCUUCCAGGAAUUACUAAAACUGAAAUUACUAUCUAUGGGAAGCAUAAAACUAAAGUCUAGGUAAGAGAAGGACAUGAUAUAAAGUUUGAGCUGCUGUUUAUCUUGUUCCUACUACACUAAGUUCUGGAGAUUUAUUUUGAAAACUUACAAAUCACAUGAUGCGUUCCUAGCAUUACAAACUACCUACCACAGCCAUACUUGCUAUAACAUCUUUUAUUCAUAUUCACAUUGAGUUUGAUCGAGCUGUAUAGACCCUUAGGAGCUUUUCAUGUGGUUAAAUUAAGAUAUUCACUUGCACACAUCUACUACACCAUCCACCACCACUUAUUAAAAUUGCUAAAAAUAUUACCACUCACUGUCCCAAGUAUUGUUAUUCUCUCUCUCUAAAAAGACUCAAUGCAGAAGAGGCAUGGGUUAUGCAAAAAUAUGCGAGGAAAUAAAAAGGGGCAAGUGCCCGGAACCUCGGAAAAGAAAGAAAAAGAGUGAGACAAGAGGUAAAAAUGGACAAGUGUCCGGAGUAGAAUUAGGAUUACAAAGAUGCCCACUUGAGUGGAAAAAAUGGACAAGUGUCCGAGAGUAGAAUUAGGGGUAUCUACUACCCACC
This 1234-nucleotide long non-coding RNA is filed under the name Sorghum bicolor (sorghum). RNAcentral's name for it is "long non-coding RNA (SBIC_LNC002848)". The record is from RNAcentral. Lineage: Eukaryota; Viridiplantae; Streptophyta; Magnoliopsida; Poales; Poaceae.